AAAAGAGAUGACGAUUAACAAUUUACCCCUUCAAUGUACAAGGAAAUGUGAAAUUUUAAAUGCUUGACAUCCAUUUGACAAAAACAUCUAACAAAAAUCUCCCUUCCAUUAUGUUUUUGUAGGUGUCCAUCCCUGUUCCAAAGCUCCCAUUUUGACACAGGCGGGCGGGAUGCUGACAAAAGUUGUGGAGUUCGGCUUUGCACCUCCCGAUUGCAUUUACUUGAAAGUCUGUAAAUCCUUUAAAAGAAACCCAUUUUGUGCAUACCUUCAACCAUGGGAUUCCAUGAGACCAUAUUUCCUUGAGGCAUUCUGUCAAAUAGUUCACUACCUUGUCUAUGCUUCCACAUUUUGCUCACAUGUCUACUUAAGCAUUUCCAACUAUAAUAGCUGACAAAACACCCCUUCGAUUAUGCUCUAAUGUAUGCCCAUAUCCUAUUCCAAAGCGUCCAUUCUAGUACUGGCACACAGACUGCUAGCAAAGGUUACGGACAAACCUUUUCGACAAAUCCAUUUUGUGUAUACCGUGCAAUCACUAUAGUCCAGGAUUGGUCAACAAUUAAGCCCAGGGUUUUAUGUACAUUGGAGAUUGUAUGCCUAUUAAUUGUUGGAUGAUUAAUAUCCAAUAGAAAUAUGUUACUGUUGUUGCAUAGGCUUUGUACAGGCACCUGAAAUUGUGUAGUAUUGAUGGGACAUGCCAAUUUUUAUUUUCAUUUUCAUUUCUUUUUAAUUUGGCUUUUCCUAUUUAUUGGAAAUGGUUCUUGCAGGAUGGUAUAACCUGUUGCAUUCAGGUUUCAGCGAAAGUAGCUAUUGGGGUUCCUAUAAAUCCAGCUUCCUCUUUCAAUAAUCCUCAAUAUGAUAUCACCAUACUUGCUUGGAAGGCAUCGUACAUAAUUAGAGCUAUGUAUAGAAGCAUCAAUUAUACUGAUUGCUCAAGAAACAUAUGUAGAGGGGCAAAAAGCUAGAGAGCUCUUUGACAAGGAGGAAACUGGAGGGAUACAGAUGCAGACUUACAACGUCGAGAGCAGAUUUACACCAGCCAUAUACCCCCAGGCAAUGGCUGGUUCCUUUCUUGUUUUAUCUAUGCAUUUGCCUUAUUAUUUCAGUUUUUUCCUUUGCAUAAGAAAGUAAGGAUUACUCUCACGGUCUUGUGUGAGAGAUAAUUUAUUUUAGAUUACUUCUCGUAAUCAUUUCCUCCUUUCUGUAGAUUACUUCUCGUAAUCAUUUCAACUGUAUAAAAUAUGAUGCAUUUAAUGACAAUUGAAAGAUUACAAUUAUGUGACUGUAAUCUUUGCCUAGGUACUAAAAUUUUCCAUUGAAUUGUAAAUAUAAUGAAGAUUUUAGUAACAUUUUUG
Cryptomeria japonica (Japanese cedar) is the source of this 1352-nucleotide long non-coding RNA. RefSeq lists it as uncharacterized. The transcript has 3 exons. The record is from RefSeq and is a predicted model, not a curated record. Lineage: Eukaryota; Viridiplantae; Streptophyta; Pinopsida; Cupressales; Cupressaceae.